UUGUUUGCCGAUGCGGUAUCAUCAAGAUUCACAUGCCCAACUUCCUUGGCUUCCAUCUGUGUCAUUCUUCUUUAAACUUUUUCGGGUUAUGAAAAAACCCGAAAAAAUGAAGAAAAAAAGAAUAGUUGAUGGAGGAGGCCAAGAAGAAGGAAAAAUAUGUGAGAAUCUUGAUGAUGCUGCAGCGGCAAUAAA
Molecule: microRNA precursor, 192 nt
Filed under: Spinacia oleracea (spinach)
Lineage: Eukaryota; Viridiplantae; Streptophyta; Magnoliopsida; Caryophyllales; Amaranthaceae
Description: mir-172 microRNA precursor family
Rfam family: mir-172 microRNA precursor family
About the family: mir-172 has been experimentally verified in Arabidopsis thaliana.
Source: Rfam by way of RNAcentral